CCAACUGGUGCCGGACGGUAAGGCAGCGGUCUGUAAAACCGUUUUAAGUAGGUUCAACUCCUACCAGUUGGA
This 72-nucleotide transfer RNA is filed under the name soil metagenome. It matches the Rfam family "tRNA". Rfam says of the family: Transfer RNA (tRNA) molecules are approximately 80 nucleotides in length. The record is from RNAcentral.